CCUACGGGAGGCAGCAGUGAGGAAUAUUGGUCAAUGGACGAGAGUCUGAACCAGCCAAGUAGCGUGAAGGAUGACUGCCCUAUGGGUUGUAAACUUCUUUUAUAAAGGAAUAAAACGAGGCACGUGUGCCUUUUUGCAUGUACUUUAUGAAUAAGGAUCGGCUAACUCCGUGCCAGCCGCCGCGGUAAUACGGAGGAUCCGAGCGUUAUCCGGAUUUAUUGGGUUUAAAGGGAGCGUAGAUGGGUUGUUAAGUCAGGUGUGAAAGUUUGCGGCUCAACCGUAAAAUUGCAAUUGAUACUGGCAGUCUUGAGUACAGUUGAGGUAGGCGGAAUUCGUGGUGUAGCGGUGAAAUGCUUAGAUAUCACGAAGAACCCCGAUUGCGAAGGCAGCUUACUAAACUGUGACUGACAUUGAUGCUCGAAAGUGUGGGUAUCAAACAGGAUUAGAUACCCUUGUAGUC
Molecule: ribosomal RNA, 460 nt
Filed under: uncultured bacterium
Lineage: Bacteria
Description: partial 16S ribosomal RNA
Rfam family: Bacterial small subunit ribosomal RNA
Source: RNAcentral